RNAcentral lists this unclassified non-coding RNA (807 nucleotides) under Hevea brasiliensis (rubber tree). The record is from RNAcentral. Lineage: Eukaryota; Viridiplantae; Streptophyta; Magnoliopsida; Malpighiales; Euphorbiaceae.
CUCCAUGCUUCGAUUCUGAUUCGAUGAACACACCAUGGCAUAGCGAAAUUUCAUGCUUUAGAACAAAAAAGAUGUGGAUGUGUCAAAGCUCGAAUAUAUUAAUGCAACAGUUCAACUCAAAAGGAAAUAUAACAACCAAUUCUUCUGCAAGUUCAUAAAAAUUUUAAAAAUAAGAGAAGAAAACCUAAUUGGAUGAAUAACUUCUAAUGAAGCCCAAGCUCUCAGUAUUUGCCUCAAAGCCCAAUACUUUAACGGAAAAAAAUAUUGGGGAAACCAAAAACAGCAAGACCAAAAAAGAAAAAGGAAAACACAGAGUUUACCUCACUGAAGGAGAAGGCGUAACUUUCUUGGGCAAAAGAAGCAAAAGGUACAGCAGAAAGAGUGAAUUUUUAAUAUCAAAAAUGGCAAUGACUCAUACCCUCCAGAAUUAAGGUUGUAGUAAUCAGGUCCCUUUGAGACUGCCUUGACCACUUGGCUAAAAUAGAUUCAGAUUUGUCAUUACGGUUAUAAGAGAUCUCAUCUCACCAUGAAAGCUUAGGGUGGAGAGUGAUAAGAGUUUAUACUAUUUGAAAGCGAGUGGCUCUGACCCGAAACCUUCAGAGGCAGCUGAAUUUUUUGGCAAGAGAAAUGGAGUUUCUGUAAACUAAAAAGGAGAUAGAGAUAGUGGAAAGGGUGUGGAGCGGCUGUGUAAGGGAGAGGGCUAGAGGUGGUGGCAAAUGGGUUCUGUAACUGGCGGCGGGUGGCGGUGACCUUGGUGGCUGGAAGUUGAAGUAAUGUGCUCGCGCUCAGCUUGGGCCAACGGAGGAA